GGGCCUAUAUUUUUACCAAACCCUCCCAUAUUUCGGGCGGGCCGUCGGGCUAGGCCAGGCCGCCCAACCCAUGAACACCUCUAGUGGGAGGGGGGUUUUUCCCAUUUUUUUUAGUAUCAAUUCAUUUUUUCGGUUCAUUUUUUUCUCAGUUUUCUUUUUUUUAUCAUCUCUUAGCUUUUUUCUUAACCUAGUUUUUUUUAGUACUAGUUCAUUUUUUCCCAAUUUUCUUUUUUUUAUUGAUUUUCUUUUUUAUCAUCUCUUUGCUUUUUUCUUAACUCGGUUUUUUCAACUGUGAAUACCCGUUAAAAUAUUUUUCACCUAUUAAAUUAAUUUUAAACAUAUUAAAAAAAUUUUAACUUGAUAGUAGUG
This 369-nucleotide long non-coding RNA is filed under the name Gossypium raimondii (Peruvian cotton). RNAcentral's name for it is "long non-coding RNA (GRAI_LNC002604)". Lineage: Eukaryota; Viridiplantae; Streptophyta; Magnoliopsida; Malvales; Malvaceae. The record is from RNAcentral.